This 300-nucleotide ribosomal RNA is filed under the name Triticum aestivum (bread wheat). RNAcentral describes it as "partial small subunit ribosomal RNA". Lineage: Eukaryota; Viridiplantae; Streptophyta; Magnoliopsida; Poales; Poaceae. The record is from RNAcentral.
AUGCCCAUUUUGUUUCGGCACCCUGCUGGUAUGCCAUUCAACUUCGCCACCUCGAGCACCCUGUCGGGCCGCCGUUCAACUAUACCAACUGGUGUCAUUCAACUAAAUCACCUAACGCCGCUCAUCUAUAUUUUUUCUUCUCAGCCAGCAACGAAAACGGCGGCGAUCGAGCCAUCUCCUCGAGAUGCUCCGCGUGCAGCCGCCGGCUUCUCGCACGCCAUCGACCCCUUCCAUCCCCGCGUGUGCUUUCUUCCUCCUGUGCACGAUGGACUUCCCCCCGCGCAGCCUGUGACCUUCUGA